CUGUUGAUGUAUUAAUGAAAAUAACAAGGCUAUAUAUUAUUAAUAGCAUUAAAUUAUUAGUGCUAUUAAAUUUUCAGUCCUCGAAUGAAGAGAUGUGCGGUUAGCAUGAUAGUGGUCUCCGGUUAGCAUAAUAACAAUUUUUUAGGGCUGAGUGGGUGGUUGAUUAAAUAGUAUGAUCCAACUAGUAAAAAUGGUUAAAGAGGUAGAUUCAACGGUGAAAAAUUCAAUGGCAUCAAGCGCUUGGUACUAUUGAUAGCAUAAUAGUAAAAAAUCUUUAUAUAUAUAUAUAUAUAUAUAUAUAAAAUAUUUAGACUGUAUAUAUAAUUUAAUUAAAAAAAUUUAUAAUAUGUAUUUCUACAAAUUAACAAUUCAUAUAUAAUAC
RNAcentral lists this long non-coding RNA (382 nucleotides) under Ananas comosus (pineapple). Its description in RNAcentral is "long non-coding RNA (ACOM_LNC011255)". The record is from RNAcentral. Lineage: Eukaryota; Viridiplantae; Streptophyta; Magnoliopsida; Poales; Bromeliaceae.